Non-coding RNA from Potamilus streckersoni, 74 nucleotides. The record is from the annotation of a GenBank genome assembly. Lineage: Eukaryota; Metazoa; Mollusca; Bivalvia; Unionida; Unionidae.
GCUCCAGUGGCCUAGUGGUUAGAGCGUCUGCCUCAGAUGCGGGAGGUCGUGGGUUCGAUCAACCGGUUGAGUCA